This 253-nucleotide ribosomal RNA is filed under the name uncultured bacterium. Its description in RNAcentral is "partial 16S ribosomal RNA". It matches the Rfam family "Bacterial small subunit ribosomal RNA", at positions 524 to 776 of the family's 1533-position model. The record is from RNAcentral.
UACGUAGGUGGCAAGCGUUGUCCGGAUUUACUGGGCGUAAAGAGCUCGCAGGCGGUCGUUCAAGUCGCGUGUGAAAGCCCCCGGCUCAACUGGGGAGGGUCACGCGAUACUGAUCGACUCGAAGGCAGGAGAGGGUAGUGGAAUUCCCGGUGUAGUGGUGAAAUGCGUAGAUAUCGGGAGGAACACCAAUGGCGAAGGCAGCUCGCUGGGACGGUACUGACGCUGAGGCGCGAAAGCGUGGGGAGCAAACAGG